Molecule: ribosomal RNA, 479 nt
Filed under: uncultured bacterium
Lineage: Bacteria
Description: bacterial SSU rRNA
Rfam family: Bacterial small subunit ribosomal RNA
Source: RNAcentral
GACGAACGCUGGCGGCGUGCUUAACACAUGCAAGUCGAACGGUAAGGCCUUCGGGUACACGAGUGGCGAACGGGUGAGUAACACGUGGGUGAUCUGCCCCCUACUCUGGGAUAAGCCUGGGAAACUGGGUCUAAUACCGGAUAUGACCUUGGGCUUCAUGGUUCUUGGUGGAAAGUUUUUUCGGUAGGGGAUGAGCCCGCGGCCUAUCAGCUUGUUGGUGGGGUAAUGGCCUACCAAGGCGACGACGGGUAGCCGGCCUGAGAGGGCGACCGGCCACACUGGGACUGAGACACGGCCCAGACUCCUACGGGAGGCAGCAGUGGGGAAUAUUGCACAAUGGGCGAAAGCCUGAUGCAGCGACGCCGCGUGGGGGAUGACGGCCUUCGGGUUGUAAACCCCUUUCAGUCGGGACGAAGCGAGAGUGACGGUACCGAUAGAAGAAGCACCGGCCAACUACGUGCCAGCCGCCGCCGUAACAC